GUGUCCUAGAAUUGAUUUUCAUGCGAGUAUGUCUUCUACCGAGAAUCUUCAUCAACUUUCAUUACAACUGAAUGGUCUUGUCUCAGAGCCCUCACCUUUGGUCAAUGGGGAUGAGGUGCUCUCUUCAGCUGACUUGAAAAGUCUGGAGAGACAGCAGAAUGAAGAUAUUUUGAAUCAAAGGGGAAAAAGUAAUAAGGACUUUGAGCAAAAAUUUGCAAAGGAACAGGGGGCUCUUAGAGAGCAGUUACAGGU
Long non-coding RNA from Erinaceus europaeus (western European hedgehog), 252 nucleotides. RefSeq lists it as uncharacterized. NCBI's taxonomy places the organism in Eukaryota, Metazoa, Chordata, Mammalia, Eulipotyphla, Erinaceidae. The record is from RefSeq and is a predicted model, not a curated record. The transcript is spliced from 4 exons.